Molecule: ribosomal RNA, 427 nt
Filed under: uncultured bacterium
Lineage: Bacteria
Description: partial 16S ribosomal RNA
Rfam family: Bacterial small subunit ribosomal RNA
Source: RNAcentral
UGGGGAAUAUUGCACAAUGGGCGCAAGCCUGAUGCAGCCAUGCCGCGUGUAUGAAGAAGGCCUUCGGGUUGUAAAGUACUUUCAGCGGGGAGGAAGGUGUUGAGGUUAAUAACCUCAGCAAUUGACGUUACCCGCAGAAGAAGCACCGGCUAACUCCGUGCCAGCAGCCGCGGUAAUACGGAGGGUGCAAGCGUUAAUCGGAAUUACUGGGCGUAAAGCGCACGCAGGCGGUCUGUCAAGUCGGAGGUGAAAUCCCCGGGCUCAACCUGGGAACUGCAUUCGAAACUGGCAGGCUAGAGUCUUGUAGAGGGGGGUAGAAUUCCAGGUGUAGCGGUGAAAUGCGUAGAGAUCUGGAGGAAUACCGGUGGCGAAGGCGGCCCCCUGGACAAAGACUGACGCUCAGGUGCGAAAGCGUGGGGAGCAAACA